AAAAAUAAAUAUAAUAUUGCAUCCCAAAUGGGUGAAAAAUACGAAAUCGGCGUAAUAUUACUGUAAAUUUCUGUGAUAUCACUCUUAAAACAUGCGGCAAAUCGCAAGCCCAUCCAACUGUCAUUCCAGUUUUUCUUUCAAUCUGCGAGCAUCGAAAAACAAAUAUCGUGCUCAAUAAUUUAGUUGGUGAAGUUUAAAUGCUGUGUUUGCGCCUUUCUGCCGAAUAGGAAACAAAUCAUUUCACAGAAGUUACUGCUGAGUGUGAACCGCAGAAAACAAAUAGGAUGCUCCUGAGCGGAGAAAAAAUGAUCAACGAUAGUUUUCGAUAAAUUGGAGACAAAUGUACCCACAGCAAACCGGCAAACUGCAGAUACAUCAUUCUCCGGCAUUUGAAAGAGUCGACAAGUGCAGCAAUUCGUGCGGAUGUGGAGUAGCGCUAGGGAAGCAAAAGGAUUUUCUGAAUUCGAGCCAUUCAACAAAUACCAUCAAGAGUGGCAUAAAUCCGCCAGACACCAUCAGUUUCGAACGAACCGAAAAUUCCACAAAGGAGGGAUCAAUUUUGGAGUACCAGCAUCGCAUCGCAUCGGGUUAUGUUUUAUGUUUAUUACAGGUAAAUUCAUCUACGGAGCAAACCGCUGGUAAAGUGUCCUGUGCCUGUAGAGAGCCCACCGAAGAGCUUAAACGAGAUUUACGGAAGUAGUAACGGAAUUCCAAUCAGACUAAUCAACUUGUAUGACGGACUUGUGGUAUUUUAUUUGCAAAAGGCAAACAUUUGUUAUAGCAUAUCCUCAGUAAUUAGAUUAAGAGAUAUUCGAUUCGAUUGGUGAUCUCUUGAAUCUAUUAUCAAUUCGGUGCAAAACCGAAUUAUAGCCGCUAACAAAGUUGGAUUUUUCUCACAAUACAUACGUUAAACCUAACUUCGGAAGUGGUGCGCUGUUUUCAUUUGGUUAUGUGCUAUACAGCGCACUACUUCCGAAAUUAGGUUUAACGUAUGGAUUGUGAGAAAAAUCCAAUUUCGAUAGCGGCUAUAAUUCGGUUUUCUACUGAAUUUAUAAUACUACACCUAUAAAGCUAAUAAA
This is a long non-coding RNA of Armigeres subalbatus, 1079 nucleotides long. RefSeq lists it as uncharacterized. The transcript is spliced from 3 exons. Lineage: Eukaryota; Metazoa; Arthropoda; Insecta; Diptera; Culicidae. The record is from RefSeq and is a predicted model, not a curated record.